RNAcentral lists this ribosomal RNA (484 nucleotides) under uncultured bacterium. Its description in RNAcentral is "partial 16S ribosomal RNA". It matches the Rfam family "Bacterial small subunit ribosomal RNA", at positions 30 to 507 of the family's 1533-position model. The record is from RNAcentral.
AUUGAACGCUGGCGGCAGGCCUAACACAUGCAAGUCGAGCGGAUGAAGGGAGCUUGCUCCUGGCUUCAGCGGCGGACGGGUGAGUAAUGCCUAGGAAUCUGCCUGGUAGUGGGGGAUAACGUCCGGAAACGGGCGCUAAUACCGCAUCCGUCCUGAGGGAGAAAGUGGGGGAUCUUCGGACCACACGCUAUCAGAUGAGCCUAGGUCGGAUUAGCUAGUUGGUGGGGUAAAGGCCUACCAAGGCGACGAUCCGUAACUGGUCUGAGAGGAUGAUCAGUCACACUGGAACUGAGACACGGUCCAGACUCCUACGGGAGGCAGCAGUGGGGAAUAUUGGACAAUGGGCGAAAGCCUGAUCCAGCCAUGCCGCGUGUGUGAAGAAGGUCUUCGGAUUGUAAAGCACUUUAAGUUGGGAGGAAGGAAAGUAAGUGAAUACCUUGCUGUUUUGACGUUACCAACAGAAUAAGCACCGGCUAACUUCGUG